This 230-nucleotide ribosomal RNA is filed under the name uncultured bacterium. Its description in RNAcentral is "partial 16S ribosomal RNA". It matches the Rfam family "Bacterial small subunit ribosomal RNA", at positions 562 to 791 of the family's 1533-position model. The record is from RNAcentral.
AAAGCGUGCGCAGGCGGCUUUGCAAGACAGAUGUGAAAUCCCCGGGCUCAACCUGGGAACUGCAUUUGUGACUGCAAGGCUAGAGUACGGCAGAGGGGGAUGGAAUUCCGCGUGUAGCAGUGAAAUGCGUAGAUAUGCGGAGGAACACCAAUGGCGAAGGCAAUCCCCUGGGCCUGUACUGACGCUCAUGCACGAAAGCGUGGGGAGCAAACAGGAUUAGAUACCCCGGU